CACGCAACCUACACACAAUUCAGUUAUCUGCUAGCAGAUAACUGAAUUUUGUGUAGGUUGCGUG
This 64-nucleotide microRNA precursor is filed under the name Paramuricea clavata. Lineage: Eukaryota; Metazoa; Cnidaria; Anthozoa; Malacalcyonacea; Plexauridae. The record is from RNAcentral.